Molecule: ribosomal RNA, 253 nt
Filed under: uncultured bacterium
Lineage: Bacteria
Description: partial 16S ribosomal RNA
Rfam family: Bacterial small subunit ribosomal RNA
Source: RNAcentral
UACGUAGAGUGCAAGCGUUAAUCGGAAUUACUGGGCGUAAAGCGUGCGCAGGCGGCUUUGCAAGACAGAUGUGAAAUCCCCGGGCUUAACCUGGGAACUGCAUUUGUGACUGCAUGGCUAGAGUGCGGCAGAGGGGGAUGGAAUUCCGCGUGUAGCAGUGAAAUGCGUAGAUAUGCGGAGGAACACCGAUGGCGAAGGCAAUCCCCUGGGCCUGCACUGACGCUCAUGCACGAAAGCGUGGGGAGCAAACAGG